This 115-nucleotide ribosomal RNA is filed under the name Ignavibacteriota bacterium. Lineage: Bacteria; Pseudomonadati; Ignavibacteriota. The record is from RNAcentral.
CCUGGUGAUUUAAUUCAGGUGUUACACCUCUUCCCAUUCCGAACAGAGAAGUUAAGCCCUGAAUGACCUAUGGUACUGCAUGAGCAAUUGUGUGGGAGAGUCGGUUUCGCCAGGU